UACGUAGGGUGCGAGCGUUAUUCGGAAUUAUUGGGCGUAAAGGGCGCGUAGGCGGACAGUUUAGUCAGAGGUGAAAGCCCAGGGCUCAACCUUGGAAUUGCCUUUGAUACUGGCUGUCUUGAGUACGGGAGAGGUGAGUGGAACUCCGAGUGUAGAGGUGAAAUUCGUAGAUAUUCGGAAGAACACCAGUGGCGAAGGCGACUCACUGGCCCGUUACUGACGCUGAGGCGCGAAAGCGUGGGGAGCAAACAGG
Molecule: ribosomal RNA, 253 nt
Filed under: uncultured bacterium
Lineage: Bacteria
Description: partial 16S ribosomal RNA
Rfam family: Bacterial small subunit ribosomal RNA
Source: RNAcentral